This 253-nucleotide ribosomal RNA is filed under the name uncultured bacterium. RNAcentral describes it as "partial 16S ribosomal RNA". It matches the Rfam family "Bacterial small subunit ribosomal RNA", at positions 524 to 776 of the family's 1533-position model. The record is from RNAcentral.
UACGGGGGGGGCAAGCGUUGUUCGGAAUUACUGGGCGUAAAGGGCUCGUAGGCGGCCAACUAAGUCGGACGUGAAAUCCCCAGGCUCAACCUGGGAACUGCGUCUGAUACUGGAUGGCUUGAAUUCGGGAGAGGGAUGCAGAAUUCCAGGUGUAGCGGUGAAAUGCGUAGAUAUCUGGAGGAAUACCGGUGGCGAAGGCGGCAUCCUGGACCGACAUUGACGCUGAGGAGCGAAAGCGUGGGGAGCAAACAGG